RNAcentral lists this ribosomal RNA (391 nucleotides) under uncultured soil bacterium. RNAcentral describes it as "bacterial SSU rRNA". It matches the Rfam family "Bacterial small subunit ribosomal RNA", at positions 26 to 417 of the family's 1533-position model. The record is from RNAcentral.
AGAUUGAACGCUGGCGGCAUGCCUUACACAUGCAAGUCGAACGGCAGCACGGGAGCAAUCCUGGUGGCGAGUGGCGAACGGGUGAGUAAUAUAUCGGAACGUGCCCAGUCGUGGGGGAUAACGCAGUGAAAGCUGUGCUAAUACCGCAUACGAUCUAUGGAUGAAAGCGGGGGACUCGCAAGAGCCUCGCGCGAUUGGAGCGGCCGAUAUCAGAUUAGCUAGUUGGUGGGGUAAAAGCCCACCAAGGCGACGAUCUGUAGCUGGUCUGAGAGGACGACCAGCCACACUGGAACUGAGACACGGUCAGACUCGACGGGAGGCAGCAGGUGGGGAAUUUUGGACAAGUGGGCGCAAGCCUGAUCCAGCAAUGCCGCGUGCAGGAUGAAGGUCC